Molecule: long non-coding RNA, 1572 nt
Organism: Raphanus sativus (radish)
Lineage: Eukaryota; Viridiplantae; Streptophyta; Magnoliopsida; Brassicales; Brassicaceae
Exons: 4
Source: RefSeq, a predicted model, not a curated record
CACUCUCUUUGUUGUCAACAACUAUCAUCUUCCAGUUUUUUUUCCGAUUUGCUAACAGGUUCAUAGUGUUCUUCAGCUUCUAUUUUCAUGAACCGACAGUGAUGGGAAACACGAUCUGUUGUUCGUGUCGUCUGGAUUUCUUCACGCUGGAAAAGUGAAACACGAACCGUUACAGAUGCAUUCAAUUGAAUCGUUAUCAUUAACAGCCAUUUAACUCCUCCUCUACACUCCCAUCACAAUUGUUCAUUCACUGCAUCUGGCUUCUCUUCCAGCGGUGAAUUUCCAUGUAUAAAAAGGCCAAACAACACGAAUGACUGGAUUUACAUAGAUGCCAAAAAUGCCAGUGAGGUCGAAGAGUUUCAUCAAAUCUUCAAGGAAAAUUAUUUCUCAGAAGAAUGGCAGUCUCAUCUAUCCUCUUCCAUGAUUUGAAGGCUGGACGUUGUUCUUCCACCGUCUAGGUUCGACUUCAAAGGUUCCGGGAAGCAAUAACGCGAUACGCGGUGGCGAGAGCAUAUGGGUUUGGACAUGAUCCUCCUCGGCUCUAAGGUUAUUCCGUUUUUAGUACUCACAUCAUCGGAGUUUUAAACAAAAUCCAGUGUCUAAUCUCAGAAUUUUCAUACUUUUGUUUCCAAAUCUUUAUUUUAACUUCCUGCAGUGAAGUGGUUGAAAACUAUAAUAGUAGUGCACAAGCUGCAGAGUUGCUUCUCAGAGUAACUAUAAGCUUUAGCAAUGAAUGUAAUUGAUUUUACUAACAUUUCAUAUUAUUAUCUGAGUCUUCUUAGAUUUGGUUUUGCUUGCUUUAGGAAAUAUCAUUCUGCAAGUCAAAAGGGGAGAAGAAAGAUUGUUUUCUUUAAGUUGAAACUUGGAAUUUGACUCUAAUCCAAUUAUUUUGGGUAGCUGGUGCUAUGGCUCAAAUUCUGCGCAGAAGAUAGCGUCUCAAGAACCAAGUGUGAAUAGUACAGCAAUAACAGUUAUGUGAUCUCGAACUCAAUACACUAAGAUUAAGCUAAUGCAUGGUUUAUUCUUGGAUUCCUCGCAUGAUUAUACAAAUAUAUCCAUGUGACUGGUUAGACAAGUUCCAUUUCCAUUUAUUGGAAAAAAUAAACAAGUUCCAAUGUUUUUAUACUAUGAUGGUUAUCUGUAUUGAAAUGGGAAGCUUAACUUUUGUAUGUAUUCAACUUUUUCCAUAUUUUUAUUCAGAAGAUGAGGAAGUCACCAUGGAUAGGUUUCAAAAUGAAUUGGAGAAAUCAAAGUUACUGGGUUGAAUACUGGGUUGAAUAUGAUCAAAAGGCCAACAUCGAAGCUGGUGAAUCUGUGGCAGAUGAUGAAGCUAAAUAUGGUCGAGUGAAGGGGCCAAGUCACAUUUUUCAUAAAAAGUUUUAAUAAUUUUUCCUAUUGAGGAAUGGUUGAGUGGGUGAAUAUUUGGGUUUAGUAAGCUACAUAUCCGGGAUUCAAUUAUUAGUUUGACCGAAUUUAGUUUUCGAGGGAUGUGGUUUACUGUUUUUUUAAAGUAUGAGGUUUUUAUUGUUUUAUAUAACAUUUCACUUUAAACUGAAAACGUUUCACUUUAAA